Molecule: ribosomal RNA, 404 nt
Filed under: uncultured bacterium
Lineage: Bacteria
Description: partial 16S ribosomal RNA
Rfam family: Bacterial small subunit ribosomal RNA
Source: RNAcentral
GACGAACGCUGGCGGCGUGCUUAACACAUGCAAGUCGAACGAGUGGCGAACGGGUGAGUAAUACGUGAGUAACCUGCACUCUUUUUGGGAUCAGCCUUGGAAACGGGGUCUAAUACCGGAUAGGGGGAUGGGCUCGCGGCCUAUCAGCUGGUUGGUGGGGUGAUGGCAUACCAAGGCGGUGAUGGGUAGACGGCAUGAGAGGGUGACCGGCAACAUUGAGACUGAGAUACCGCCUAGAGUAGUACGGGGGGGAGCAGUGGGGGAUAUUGCACAAUGGUCGAAAGACUGAUGCAGCGACGCCGCAUGGGGGAUGAAGGCUUUCGGGUUGUAAACCUCUGGCGCUAGCGAACGGGUAGGUGGAGAAGAAGCGCCGGCUAACUACGUGCCAGCAGCCGCGGUAAUAC